This 770-nucleotide ribosomal RNA is filed under the name Creagrocercus drawidae. RNAcentral's name for it is "LSU rRNA". It matches the Rfam family "Eukaryotic large subunit ribosomal RNA", at positions 349 to 958 of the family's 3401-position model. Lineage: Eukaryota; Metazoa; Nematoda; Chromadorea; Plectida; Creagrocercidae. The record is from RNAcentral.
UACCGUGAGGGAAAGUUGCAAAGAACUUUGAAGAGAGAGUUCAAGAGGGCGUGAAACUGCCUGGAAGGAAGCGGAUGGAGCUGACAAAACCGAGCAACAUUCAGCUGACAAUUUGCAAUAGCAUGUAAUGGCUGCAUCGAUGAGCAGGCCUUGCAUUGCUAUUGCGCGAUGUUGGUGCAUUUGUUGUAGGUAUGCGCCUGGACUGCUGCCUGGCUGUUUGGAUGUUGCAGACAGUGGCCCGGUGUGAGCUGGUGUCCUAUCUGCAGCCUGAUGAACAUUUCGGGUGGCAGUUGAAAUUGUCCCGCUCUAGCAUCUGUUGCCCAGGGUGGGUGCAGUUGGGUUUGGACCGAUCUGUUUGCAGAUGGGUUCCAGGUCUGGCUCUUCAAUCUCUGGGCGGGGAUGUGGACAAUUAUCAGGUGUAAAAGUCAGUCACCCAUCUGACCCGUCUUGAAACACGGACCAAGGAGUCUAACAUGUGCGCGAGUCAUUGGGCUGCAAACCCAAAGGCGAAAUGAAAGUGAACGCCAACCAGAUUGGCUGACAUGGGAUCCUAUUUUGAAGUAGGCGCAGCAUGGGCCUGCCUUGACUGUUUACAGUGGGGCAGAGGCAGAGCGUACACGUUGGUACCCGAAAGAUGGUGAACUAUGCCUGAGCAGGAUGAAGCCAGAGGAAACUCUGGUGGAGGUCCGAAGCGGUUCUGACGUGCAAAUCGAUCGUCAAACUUGGGUAUAGGGGCGAAAGACUAAUCGAACCAUCUAGUAGCUGGUUCC